UACGUAGGGGGCAAGCGUUAUCCGGAUUUACUAGGUGUAAAGGGAGCGCAGACGGAACUGCAAGUCUGAUGUGAAAGCCCAGGGCUCAACCGCGGGACUGCAUUGGAAACUGUAGAUCUGGAGUGCCGGAGGGGCAAGCGGAAUUCCUGGUGUAGCGGUGAAAUGCGUAGAUAUCGGGAGGAACACCGGUGGCGAAGGCGACUUGCUGGGCAGCAACUGACGCUGAGGCGCGAAAGCCAGGGGAGCAAACGGGAUUAGAUACCCGGGUAGU
This 271-nucleotide ribosomal RNA is filed under the name uncultured prokaryote. RNAcentral's name for it is "partial 16S ribosomal RNA". It matches the Rfam family "Bacterial small subunit ribosomal RNA", at positions 524 to 794 of the family's 1533-position model. The record is from RNAcentral.